AUUUAUUGGUCUUGGAUGGACUCGCGGCCUAUCAGCUUGUUGGUGAGGUAAUGGCUCACCAAGGCGACGACGGGUAGCCGGCCUGAGAGGGUGACCGGCCACACUGGGACUGAGACACGGCCCAGACUCCUACGGGAGGCAGCAGUGGGGAAUAUUGCACAAUGGGCGCAAGCCUGAUGCAGCGACGCCGCGUGAGGGAUGACGGCCUUCGGGUUGUAAACCUCUUUCAGUAGGGAAGAAGCGAAAGUGACGGUACCUGCAGAAGAAGCGCCGGCUAACUACGUGCCAGCAGCCGCGGUAAUACGUAGGGCGCGAGCGUUAUCCGGAAUUAUUGGGCGUAAAGAGCUCGUAGGCGGUUUGUCGCGUCUGCCGUGAAAGUCCGGGGCUUAACCCCGGAUCUGCGGUGGGUACGGGCAGACUAGAGUGCAGUAGGGGAGACUGGAAUUCCUGGUGUAGCGGUGAAAUGCGCAGAUAUCAGGAGGAACACCGAUGGCGAAGGCAGGUCUCUGGGCUGUAACUGACGCUG
RNAcentral lists this ribosomal RNA (526 nucleotides) under Micrococcus luteus. Its description in RNAcentral is "bacterial SSU rRNA". It matches the Rfam family "Bacterial small subunit ribosomal RNA", at positions 210 to 748 of the family's 1533-position model. The record is from RNAcentral. Lineage: Bacteria; Bacillati; Actinomycetota; Actinomycetes; Micrococcales; Micrococcaceae.